CUGGAUGUAGUGCAGCAGGGAGAUUUUUUCUUGUAGUUUGUUGCCUUUUUAGUGUGAGAGACAAACCUGUUGCAACUGACUGGAAAGUUCCAGAAUGGCCUGGCCCCACUCUGCCUCGGCCUCGGUUGGCCUGACCUGGCCUCCGUUGCUUUUCCAUUACAACAGUCUCCAAUCAAAAGUGAGAGGGACUGGAGCUGGAUCAAGAAGAAGGUUAUGCAUCCAGGAGACGUUUGACUCCCAUUCCAGUACGCAGUGCAAACAAAAAAGGUUGUGCUUCGAGCAGAAGUAGGGACUGGUUUCAAGGACAAUGACAACCACACAAGAUCCCAUUCACCACCACCAAAGAAUAAAAUCCAGAUGUGGAUAAAACAUUGCUAGAUUUUAUGCGCAAGGUAAUAAAAGCCUGGACUAUUGAGCAAACAGUAGGAGGAGGAGAAUUAGGAGGAAGAAAUUGCAAGGUUGUUCAUGCAUUUUUGUCCAAUGUAAAUUCUGUACAUGGUUAUAUGUCAAAAGAACUUUCUCAGUGUUGUUUUAUGUUCAGAUGUUUGAGAUUUUCACUAAAGAAAAAAAAAAUAAUGGUGUCAAAGUCAUUGUUUUGCUUGAUCUGUCUGCUUUCACAAAAAUGCUGUUUUCUCAGGUUUUUUUUCCUCCAGAAACUGAAAGUAGCCUAUAUUUGACUGAUGAUUACUAAAGAACGGUAUAAGGUAGAGAUUUUUCUGAUGAAAGAAGAGAGUCUGAUCUUUCUUUUGGUGGUUUUGGUGUUUACAUAGUCAUCGUACA
Long non-coding RNA from Phyllopteryx taeniolatus (common seadragon), 780 nucleotides. RefSeq lists it as uncharacterized. NCBI's taxonomy places the organism in Eukaryota, Metazoa, Chordata, Actinopteri, Syngnathiformes, Syngnathidae. The record is from RefSeq and is a predicted model, not a curated record. The transcript is spliced from 4 exons.